This 253-nucleotide ribosomal RNA is filed under the name uncultured prokaryote. RNAcentral's name for it is "partial 16S ribosomal RNA". It matches the Rfam family "Bacterial small subunit ribosomal RNA", at positions 524 to 776 of the family's 1533-position model. The record is from RNAcentral.
UACGUAGGGAGCAAGCGUUGUUCGGAUUUACUGGGCGUAAAGGGCGCGUAGGCGGCGUGUUAAGUCAGCUGUGAAAUCUCCAAGCUCAACUUGGAACGGCCAGCUGAUACUGAUGUGCUAGAGUGCAGAAGGGGCAAUCGGAAUUCUUGGUGUAGCGGUGAAAUGCGUAGAUAUUGGGAGGAACACCAGUGGCGAAGGCGGCUCACUGGACUGGUACUGACGCUGAUGCGCGAAAGCGUGGGGAGCAAACAGG